Molecule: non-coding RNA, 30 nt
Filed under: Rattus norvegicus (Norway rat)
Lineage: Eukaryota; Metazoa; Chordata; Mammalia; Rodentia; Muridae
Source: RNAcentral
UCUGGACCACAUUUAGGUUUAGUGCACCUU